GACGAACGCUGGCGGCGUGCUUAACACAUGCAAGUCGAACGGAAAGGCCCUGCUUUUGUGGGGUGCUCGAGUGGCGAACGGGUGAGUAACACGUGAGUAACCUGCCCUUGACUCUGGGAUAACUUCAGGAAACUUGGGCUAAUACCGGAUAGCAGCUCCUGCUGCAUGGUGGGGGUUGGAUAGUUUCGGCGGUUGGGGAUGGACUCGCGGCUUAUCAGCUUGUUGGUGGGGUAGUGGCGUACCAAGGCUUUGACGGGUAGCCGGCCUGAGAGGGUGACCGGCCACAUUGGGACUGAGAUACGGCCCAGACUCCUACGGGAGGCAGCAGUGGGGAAUAUUGCACAAUGGGAGGAAGCCUGAUGCAGAAACGCCGCGUGCGGGAUGACUGCCUUCGGGUUGUAAACCGCUUUAGCCUGUGGCGAAGCGUGAGUGACGGUAAUGGGAAAAGAAGCACCGGCUAAAUACGUG
This 468-nucleotide ribosomal RNA is filed under the name uncultured bacterium. RNAcentral's name for it is "partial 16S ribosomal RNA". It matches the Rfam family "Bacterial small subunit ribosomal RNA", at positions 28 to 507 of the family's 1533-position model. The record is from RNAcentral.